This 27-nucleotide small RNA is filed under the name Bombyx mori (domestic silkworm). Its description in RNAcentral is "ovarian small RNA-21039". Lineage: Eukaryota; Metazoa; Arthropoda; Insecta; Lepidoptera; Bombycidae. The record is from RNAcentral.
UACGAUGCUUGGCAGCGAUGUGUCCUG